This is a long non-coding RNA of Sander lucioperca (pikeperch), 472 nucleotides long. RefSeq lists it as uncharacterized. NCBI's taxonomy places the organism in Eukaryota, Metazoa, Chordata, Actinopteri, Perciformes, Percidae. The transcript is spliced from 2 exons. The record is from RefSeq and is a predicted model, not a curated record.
UAAUGUUAGAUAAACAAAGCGGUGGAGCGAGCUAGAGAAAGAACAGAGAGAGAGAGAGCGAGAGGUGCUAAUGUUAGAUAAAACAAAGUGGUGGAGCGAGCUAGAGAAAGAAUAGAGAGAGAGAGAGAGCGGUGCUAAUGUUAGAUAAAACAAAGCGGUGGAGCGAACUAGAGAAAGAAUAGAGAGAGAGAGAGAGGUGCUAACAUUAGAUAAAACAAAGAUUCCCUGUAUAGGGAGCACCCAGUCAUAUAAUACAACUCGCUGUGCUCCCACUCCAUUUUUUCUUGUUGUUAUGCAAAUGAAGAGUCUGGCUACACCAGUCAUUGGUCGGCUGUCAAAAAAAGCGCUUGACGUAGGGCGUUUUUCAACUUCAAAAAGACGCUCCGAGAUGCAGAAAAAAAGUCGGGGGUGGCGUUUAAAAAAGCGCUCAGGACUUUUAUAAAACACGGUUUACUCCACAGGAUUAGAAUGU